This 399-nucleotide ribosomal RNA is filed under the name uncultured bacterium. Its description in RNAcentral is "bacterial SSU rRNA". It matches the Rfam family "Bacterial small subunit ribosomal RNA", at positions 8 to 409 of the family's 1533-position model. The record is from RNAcentral.
AGAGUUUGAUCCUGGCUCAGAUUGAACGCUGGCGGCAGGCCUAACACAUGCAAGUCGAGCGGAUGAGUGGAGCUUGCUCCAUGAUUCAGCGGCGGACGGGUGAGUAAUGCCUAGGAAUCUGCCUGGUAGUGGGGGACAACAUUUCGAAAGGAACGCUAAUACCGCAUACGUCCUACGGGAGAAAGCAGGGGACCUUCGGGCCUUGCGCUAUCAGAUGAGCCUAGGUCGGAUUAGCUAGUAGGUGAGGUAAUGGCUCACCUAGGCGACGAUCCGUAACUGGUCUGAGAGGAUGAUCAGUCACACUGGAACUGAGACACGGUCCAGACUCCUACGGGAGGCAGCAGUGGGGAAUAUUGGACAAUGGGCGAAAGCCUGAUCCAGCCAUGCCGCGUGUGUGAA